AGAUGACUUUUUUUUUCUUACCCCCCUCAGACAUGCUGGCUAUGAAAUGGUUGGGGUGGUAUCCCUUUAAUGAGUGAUCUCACACUGGGCGUCCUUAACCCUGUCUUACGGUGGCCAACAGAGCUCCACAAGUGAGAGCGCCAUUGCAAAAAAGCGGUGUGAGGAAAAAAAAAUCAAAUCCGUAGCAAAUAGCCCGAAGGAUAAAGUUCAAGUAGGCACACAGAAGUUGCCGCAGCGGUGAUUAUGAUCCAAGUGGAUUUAUUGACAACGGACGGCUUGAAAGUUUGAAGACGGCCCAGUUUUGAGCAGUAGGGAGCAAUUGCCAGGAUGAACAGUCUCCAGCAACUCCCGACCCACUUUAAACAUCCUCGUGGCAAAACCGCGGAAGGGCUUCGACGUGCAAGUGCCUUUGAAGAUUUGAGCAGGAAGGCGUGAGAAAAGUCCCAAGUCCGUCCUCAAAAGCUAAAACACGACAAUGGUGCUUUCCUUGCGUGCCAUGUAGCCGCGACCAAAUACAGGAAGGAGACAGUGACACGACGGCAUAUUUAUUUUUGCAAUGACAAUAAACAUUGACAUUAAAUUGCACAUAUUGUACAUUUUUUGUCCAUUUCACAUUCACAUUGCACUCAGGAUGAUACUUCAGUCUUGGACGAUACUCGACAUUUCAAUUUUCUACAUCCAGGCUUUUCAUAUCGAUUGCGGUUUUGGGGUGAGGGCGGGGGGGUGAACACAGAUGAUAUCAUACAAAAUCUAAAUACCAAAAAAGUUUUAUUGUCAACCUGUUCCUCGACCGCUAAAAGAAUGAGCUCUGUCAGCCACCGUAGUGUCCCGUCCAAAACCCCGCCAUGCCAUCUGCAGUCCGCCAAAUAUAAUUUCCCCCUCAGAUGAAUAUUUUAUUAUUCUUGUGAGUAGGACAAGACCAAAUGACCCAGCCAAAGUCGAGCAGACUCCGCCGUUUCCCUUGCGGUGCAGUCUUGCAUUUGUGUUUCCACGCUGGCUCACGUGACUUGCCGCACGUGCGCGGCCGAGCGUUGAGGGGCUGCUCUCGUGAGGAGCGAGGAGAAUGUCAAGGGAGGAAAGGCGAAAUUUCAAUGUCUUCUCCCAUGUGUCCUUUGGUUUGAAACCUGAAAACACCCUUUCAAGAAAAAAAAAAAAAAAA
This is a long non-coding RNA of Hippocampus comes (tiger tail seahorse), 1159 nucleotides long. RefSeq lists it as uncharacterized. NCBI's taxonomy places the organism in Eukaryota, Metazoa, Chordata, Actinopteri, Syngnathiformes, Syngnathidae. The record is from RefSeq and is a predicted model, not a curated record. The transcript has 2 exons.